RNAcentral lists this ribosomal RNA (359 nucleotides) under uncultured bacterium. Its description in RNAcentral is "partial 16S ribosomal RNA". It matches the Rfam family "Bacterial small subunit ribosomal RNA", at positions 555 to 912 of the family's 1533-position model. The record is from RNAcentral.
UGGGCGUAAGGGAGCGUAGGCGGANCUGUAAGUCAGGAGUGAAAUCCCCGGGCUUAACCNNGGAACUGCCUUCUGAUACUGCNGNUCUUGAGUNUGGGAGAGGGNAGUGGAAUUCCAGGUGUAGCGGUGAAAUGCGUAGAUAUCUGGAAGAACACCAGUUGCGAAGGCGGCUNCCUGGCCCAAUACUGACGCUGAGGCUCGAAAGCUUGGGGAGCAAACAGGAUUAGAUACCCUGGUAGUCCUCGCCGUAAACGAUGNACACUAGUUGUUGGAGGAGUCAAUCCCUUCAGUGACNNAACUAACGCGUUAANUGUCCCGCCUGGGGAGUACGCUCGCANGGGUGNNACUCGAANGAAUUG